AUGCAGCUGGACGAUGCAUGUUGCAGGAUCAUAGAUAGUGCAUGCAUUGGUGGUAAUCUUCAUCUACUUUCUGUAUGGAACUGGGAGCGUCUGCCUGUUGGAUGCCCGAAGAGCGUCAAGUUUAAUUCUUGGAAUGAAGAUGACGAAUUACGAUGCCCCACUUGGGCUUACAAGUGGGAUGUGGUAUCCGAGAUGAUGAACGAUGUUAACUCAUGUACCAAAAGUACAUCGCCGAGUUGGACACGAUUACGCCUAAGUAGGUAA
RNAcentral lists this ribosomal RNA (264 nucleotides) under Triticum aestivum (bread wheat). RNAcentral describes it as "partial small subunit ribosomal RNA". The record is from RNAcentral. Lineage: Eukaryota; Viridiplantae; Streptophyta; Magnoliopsida; Poales; Poaceae.